CCUACGGGAGGCAGCAGUGAGGAAUAUUGGUCAAUGGGCGAGAGCCUGAACCAGCCAAGUCGCGUGAGGGAGUACUGCCCUAUGGGUUGUAAACCUCUUUUGUCGGGGAGCAAAAGCCGGACGGGUCCGGCUGUUAGAUUACCCUAAGAAAAAGCAUCGGCUAACUCCGGUCCAGCAGCCGCGGUAAUUCGGAGGAUGCGAGCGUUAUCCGGAUUUAUUGGGUUUAAAGGGUGCGCAGGCGGAUUUGUAAGUCAGCGGUCAAAUCGUGGGGCUCAACCCCAUCCAGCCGUUGAAACUGGGGAUCUAGAGUGGGCGAGAGGUAUGCGGAAUGCGCGGUGUAGCGGUGAAAUGCAUAGAUAUCACGCAGAACCCCGAUUGCGAAGGCAGCAUACCGGUGCACAACUGACGCUCAGGUACGAAAGCGUGGGUAUCGAACAGGAUUAGAUACCCUUGUAGUC
This 458-nucleotide ribosomal RNA is filed under the name uncultured bacterium. RNAcentral's name for it is "partial 16S ribosomal RNA". It matches the Rfam family "Bacterial small subunit ribosomal RNA", at positions 338 to 795 of the family's 1533-position model. The record is from RNAcentral.